GGUUAUGUAACGCAAUGAUAACGCGCUUGUUUUUGUAACGGGAGAACCUGGGUUCGAUUCCCGGUGCAACUU
This is a non-coding RNA of Gaeumannomyces tritici R3-111a-1, 72 nucleotides long. The record is from the annotation of a RefSeq genome assembly. NCBI's taxonomy places the organism in Eukaryota, Fungi, Ascomycota, Sordariomycetes, Magnaporthales, Magnaporthaceae.